RNAcentral lists this ribosomal RNA (465 nucleotides) under uncultured bacterium. RNAcentral's name for it is "partial 16S ribosomal RNA". It matches the Rfam family "Bacterial small subunit ribosomal RNA", at positions 339 to 795 of the family's 1533-position model. The record is from RNAcentral.
CUACGGGGUGCAGCAGUGAGGGAUUUUGCGCAAUGGGGGGAACCCUGACGCAGCAACGCCGCGUGAGUGAAGAAGGCCUUUGGGUCGUAAAGCUCUGUCAACAGGGAAGAAGUUAUAUAGUCUUAAUAAGGCUUUAUAUUGACGGUACCUGUGGAGGAAGCAUCGGCUAACUCCGUGCCAGCAGCCGCGGUAAUACGGGGGAUGCAAGCGUUAUUCGGAAUUAUUGGGCGUAAAGGGCGCGCAGGCGGCCUUUUCAGUCGGAUGUGAAAGCCCAGGGCUCAACCCUGGACGUGCAUUUGAAACAAAGAGGCUUGAGUACGGUAGAGGAAAGGGGAAUUCCUGGUGUAGAGGUGAAAUUCGUAGAUAUCAGGAGGAACACCGGUGGCGAAGGCGCCUUUCUGGGCCUGUACUGACGCUGAGGCGCGAAGGCGUGGGUAGCGAACAGGAUUAGAUACCCGCGUAGUC